RNAcentral lists this long non-coding RNA (2027 nucleotides) under Zea mays. Its description in RNAcentral is "drought-responsive long non-coding RNA". Lineage: Eukaryota; Viridiplantae; Streptophyta; Magnoliopsida; Poales; Poaceae. The record is from RNAcentral.
AGUAUUUGAUUUCUUUCCCCUGUUUCAAGUUGCAGCCUCGCCCCUCUCGCUCUCGCGGCUCUCGGCGGAUCGGCGUUCAGUGAAAGCUAAAAGCCUAAAACCCUAGUUCGAACCUCUACUAGCCGGCGACAGCGGCGGUGGAGCGCGGGAUACCCGGAGAUGCCAGCGCCGUCUGCGGUUGCGUCGGCCGUAGAGAGGCUACAGGCAGCGGCGCAGGACGCCGCCAAGUCCUCGUCGCGCUCGGCCGGCGCCUUCUCCGAGCAGGCGCAGCAGGCCCUCGUGUCCAGGACCGCCGGGUAAGCCGUAUCCGCUGACACCGACCUCCAUCUUCUCUCGAUUCGAUGCAUCCGCGGUCGCAGGCUUUAUGCUUGCUCUGUUGUUUGCCCUGAUUUGGUAUGGCCACGCGGAAUUUGCAGCGUGCUUCUUCCGAUCCCCAUUUAUGAUUUGAAUUGUGCUUCGGAUGAUCUUAUUACUGUACUUCAUGGAUUCAGCUCACUUCCAGCCAGUUUGCCCUUACGUUUACACGAGCAGUACCAGGUAGUAUCGUGCGAUAUGAGUAAUUCAUGGUUUGGUAGGCAAUGUACUCCAUUUAUAACAUCCACAGAUGAAAACCGUAACCGAAAAUCCCGUAAUCAGGGCCUCAUAACCGUAUCGUUUCUGUAAACACAAUAUCAUUUCCGAAAAUCACUAUAUUUAAAAUUUAAAUUUCAAAUAUCUGUCAACAUUUAUUGUAAUCGACAAUAAGUUGAUUAAUUAUGAAACCGAGUAAAUUUACGACCGACCGACAAUCAUUUUCGUAUAAACGAUAUCGUUUCCGACUGUUUCAAUCCCUAUUAACUUCAUGUUUAUAGUCGCUUAAAUUAUAUCAAGGGCAUGUGGUCAAUGGUUAAGAUGUUUUCCCCAGAACCCUUAUGUAACCAAAUUCCCAAAAGAGAAGCAUAAGAAAUCCCUUUUCAGUGAACCCUUCAGUUGCUGUCAAGUUAAGCUCAAAGUGGUAGCUUGAUGUAUUGAAUUUUAUAGGUUUAAGAAUUUCAAAGGACUAUUUUGCCUGAAUAAAUCAAUUCUUACACUUUUCUUAAGUCAAAAAAUUUAAAGCUUGUCUGAAUUUAUAGAAAGGAGUGUCAAGAUUUAUGGCACUACAUUAGCAUUAUUGGAUUGGAUGCACCAUGAACUAUAUUUUCACUUUUUCAGAAUAUGCUCAUUUGGUGUCACAAAUAUUUGUAGCUUUUUUUAUAAACUCGGUCAAAAAUGAAAAAGUUCGACUGGCAACUUUAGGUAUUAUUCAUUUAUCGAGGCAAGAUUGGAAAUGAAGGUAGUAGUUACUUGAGGUUAAACUUUUAAGUGGCAGCCAAUCAGUAAAGCCGUUGUAUCAAGGUUUUUAUGAGUUCUAAAUCCUGGAAUAUUUGACCAGUGUUCAACUUUGUCUCCGAUUUCAGUUGAAGCAAACAGUGUUUAUCCUUGAACUGCAAAUGUGUAACAAAAUAUGGAGACCACGCCAAUGUCGCUCUAUGGCUAUCAAUGUUAGGAAACCUGAGCUCAGCGUCAGCUAUACAUUAUUCAUAAUGUACAUGGACUAUGUGAGCAGAAUCAGCCGCCUGCAAAAAUGUGGUUAGCCUGAAGGAACCAGUAGUGCAGUGUUUUUUGUAUUAACUGUUGCUGUACUUCAAACCUGUCAUGAGAAGUGCUGCUAUGUUUCUCCUGAUGUUAAUUUAUUCUGCAUUGCAGACGGGUUGUUUCUCUGUCAACAUGUGCAAAGGUCAGUGCCAUUAGCUUUGCGAUUGGUGUUGUGGCAGGGUUCACACUCAAGAAAAGGCUGCGCAGAUGGGCUGCUAGACUGCUGAAGAGAAUUAAGGACGACGACUAUUGACUAAUGCGAUCUUUUCCUCAUUGUCUUUGGAGUUUGUUCAGAAAUCAGAACUAUGGCUACUACGUACCUCAGCAUCUUGUGUAGCCAACUGUUUUUGUGCCUCCACAUAUUUGCUAUGAAUGCUGGUAUAUGAUAAUAUGAACCAUCAGAAGUUCAUCAC